This 482-nucleotide ribosomal RNA is filed under the name uncultured bacterium. Its description in RNAcentral is "bacterial SSU rRNA". It matches the Rfam family "Bacterial small subunit ribosomal RNA", at positions 29 to 524 of the family's 1533-position model. The record is from RNAcentral.
AACGAACGCUGGCGGCAGGCCUAACACAUGCAAGUCGAGCGGACGCGAGCGAUUGCGUCAGCGGCGCACGGGUGAGUAACGCGUGGGAACCUGCCCUUUGGUUUGGAACAACCCUGGGAAACUAGGGCUGAUACCGGAUACGCCUCUGCGAGGAGGGAAAAAUUUAUCGCCGAAGGAGGGGCCCGCGUCCGAUUAGCUAGUUGGUGGGGUAACGGCCUACCAAGGCUGCGAUCGGUAGCCGGUCUGAGAGGACGAUCGGCCACACUGGGACUGAGGCACGGUCCAGACUCCUACGGGAGGCAGCAGUGAGGAAUAUUGGUCAAUGGCCGAAAGGCUGAACCAGCAACGCCGCGUGAGGGAUGAAGGUCUAAGGAUUGUAAACCUCUGUUAGGAGGGACGAAUGAUUCCGUAACGAACUUACGGAAUGUCACGGUACCUCCAGAGAAAGCCCCGGCUAACUCCGUGCCAGCCGCCGCUGUAAU